UAGUAUAUGAAAUAUUUUUUGAGAGGAGAGGGUACAGUUUCGGGGAAACAUGUAUGAAAUCUACAUAGAUAUAAAAAAAGAAGAUGUGGUAUGAUGCCAAUGAGAAACUUACAGCAACUAUAGGUCACCAUAACCCGAACAAAGCUCCUGUCGCACAGUCAGCUAUAAAAGGUUUCAAAAUGUCAACAUAAAACAAUUCAAACGAGAAAAUCAACGGUCUUAUUUAAUUACAAAAAAAAAAUAAAAAAAAAAUAAAAAAAAAAAUGAAUGAAUAACACAAUAUGUAGAACAUAAAAAAUGACAACCAGUUUUAAAUUACAGGCUCCUGACUUGAAAGAGGUACACACAUACCUAACCUGGCGAGAUAACAACCAUCCCCUCACAUGAGACAGUAGGUUACCAGUACAUUAUGGGAACUUAUUAUAAAAAUCAGUUGAAAAACGUAAUUCAUCAGAUGGAUAAAAAUAAAAUGCUAUAAAAAACACGUGGACGUAAUCAGGUACUUGAACAUCCCAACAAUUAACCAUUUCCUCCAACAUUAUCAUUAUUGAACAAAUUAAAAAAAACACCUAACUUGAACAUUGAACCUUUUUGCAAUAUCGGUAAGACGGUCUAGAUCACCCUCACCCUUUCUUUAUACUCACUAACAGUCAUAGUGAAGCUUUACCACCCAGAUCCGUUUUUCUUGGGAGUCCUCAAAUGAAGAUAUGUGUACCCUAAAACUGUUUAUUGAGACAAAUUUAUUUGUCCCAAAGGUUCCACAGACUCUUAUAAUUGCACCUCCAUUUGUUACGGUUGUCAAAACGUUCAUGGUUGUUGUUUUUUUUUUCUCUCGUUAAAUGCGGUUGAGAUUACUAACUUUUGAAGUUGUAUUUAUAUUGGUUUGGGAGCAUAAUCUUUUUUGUUGGAGUGAUUAUAAUCAUUUUCAUUGGUGUACUAUUUUGAGUAUUUGGAUGGUAACUUCCUUUCAGGGUGUUGACUAUUCAAAUCAGACUUUCAUUGGUUGAUAUCUCUACCCGAGUACUUGUACAUGUUGGAAUAUGAUUUGCUUCAUCACACUCAAACCAUCCCUCGACAAUUCACUUCCUUAUUAUUUUU
This 1098-nucleotide long non-coding RNA is filed under the name Mytilus galloprovincialis (Mediterranean mussel). The record is from RNAcentral. Lineage: Eukaryota; Metazoa; Mollusca; Bivalvia; Mytilida; Mytilidae.